CCAGACUCCUACGGGAGGCAGCAGUGGGGGAUAUUGCACAAUGGGGGAAACCCUGAUGCAGCGACGCCGCGUGAGUGAAGAAGUAUUUCGGUAUGUAAAGCUCUAUCAGCAGGGAAGAAAAUGACAGUACCUGACCAGGAAGCCCCGGCUAACUACGUGCCAGCAGCCGCGGUAAUACGUAGGGGGCAAGCGUUAUCCGGAUUUACUGGGUGUAAAGGGAGCGUAGACGGUUAUGUAAGUCUGGAGUGAAAGCCUGGGGCCCAACCCCGGGACUGCUUUGGAAACUGUGUAACUGGAGUACAGGAGGGGCAGGCGGAAUUCCUGGUGUAGCGGUGAAAUGCGUAGAUAUCAGGAGGAACACCGGCGGCGAAGGCGGCUUACUGGACUGUAACUGACGUUGAGGCUCGAAAGCGUGGGGAGCAAACAGGAUUAGAUACCCCUGUACC
This 446-nucleotide ribosomal RNA is filed under the name uncultured bacterium. Its description in RNAcentral is "bacterial SSU rRNA". It matches the Rfam family "Bacterial small subunit ribosomal RNA", at positions 331 to 794 of the family's 1533-position model. The record is from RNAcentral.